AAAGUUUUAGUAUAAUUGAUUAUAUUUCAUUGUCAAUGAAAAGAUAUAUAACUUUG
This 56-nucleotide transfer RNA is filed under the name Ortleppascaris sinensis. Its description in RNAcentral is "tRNA-Asp". The record is from RNAcentral. Lineage: Eukaryota; Metazoa; Nematoda; Chromadorea; Rhabditida; Ascarididae.